Molecule: long non-coding RNA, 6386 nt
Filed under: Hordeum vulgare
Lineage: Eukaryota; Viridiplantae; Streptophyta; Magnoliopsida; Poales; Poaceae
Description: long non-coding RNA (HVUL_LNC011831)
Source: RNAcentral
UAGUUAAAGAUGUUCGGUGGAUUAUGAGAACUUAGGUCUAGUUGAGCAUGGCGAUUAUUAUAUUGGUGUAUAAACAAAUCUUUAAUUAUUCUUGGAAUUAUUUGGAAUUAGUUAGGUGAUUGUGAUCUUGAACCAAAUUUUACGGUGGAUAAAUAACUUCAAUAGUACAUAUAUAGAUCCAUAGUCGGUCAAUUUAACUUGUGGUUUAUAUUGGAUUUAGAUAGCCACGAAAUUUGAGUUUACUUCAAUCAUGGUUAUGAUGUUGGUGGGUUACUUUGUGUUAAGUUCGCACCUUUGGAGAUUGAAGUUGAAGAAAUAUAGGGUGUAGUAUGAACAACAUUGUAUAUACCGGAUUUAUAUAGGUUAGAUGAUAGUUAGCACCAUCAAUCAUGAUUAUGAAAAUUUGUGGAUUAUUAAAGCAUCUGUAAUUGGAUUAGUAGUAUAAGGAAAUAAGGAUCUUGGAGUAACACAACUUGUGUUUCCUUUAGGUCAGAAUGAGAGUUAGCUGCAUCAAUCAUGACUACGAAAAUUGGUGGAUUAUUGGAGCGCGUGGGAUUGAGGUAGUUACUUGGAUUUUAGGACUAAGAUAACUUGGGGGCACUCAGAUUUCUUUUUUUCUAGAAAGCGCAAAAGACUUUUGCGGUUCAUUGUAUUGAAAAGAAGGGGUUUAGUACAAUCCUCCUAGGAGGCAUAUUUACAAGGUGAACACAUGCACACUAGUGGACGUCCCAUGUUUGUGGCAAGAUGGCCUGGAGCCCCAAGGCGCCCGCUCUGGCCCAGAGGCCGGCCUCUUCCUUAAUCGUAGCCGCCAGGGAGGUAGCCGACGGUGUGGCACCCUCAAACACGCAUCCGUUGCGAUGCUUCCAAAUCAUCCAAGGGACGAGCAAAGCAACAGAAGCCAAUCCCUUGUGCAUAGGCUUAGGGGUGUCGUGCCGUGCAGACACCACCAGUCGUGUAGAGUGGCCUCGUUGUUGGGCAACGGGCAAGAGAGGCGCAACCAUGAGAGGAUCUCGUGCCACACUUCGCGGCUGAAAGGGCAUUCCAGGAGAAGAUGAUGAAUAGUCUCCGGAGCCUGAUCGCAAAGAGGGCAGCACUGUGGGUGUGGCAGGUUGCGCCUCGCGAGGCGGUCGGCCGUCCAGCACCUAUCAAGGUUGGCAAGCCAGUGGAAGAAGCGCACCCGAGGCGGUGCCCAGCACUUCCAGGUAAGUUUCCAAGCCUGACAUCUCGCGGAGCCGUGGAAAGUGGCGAGGUAUGCGGACUUGGCGGAGUACUCGCCGUUCGCGGUCCACUUCCAGCGAAUGUUGUCUGGUGCGUCAGUGAGGACGGUUUCGGCGAUCGCGUGCCAGAGGCGCAGGUAUUCUCCAAUCUCCAGGAUGCCAAUCAUGCCGUGGAUGUCCGCGGCCCAUUGGUUCUCGUGAAGGCCGUCCGCAACAGUUCUUGACUUGCGACGCCGUUUGGGGAUGAGAUCAAAAAGGAGAGGCGCGAUCUCUCGGAUUGCACGCCCGUUGAUCCAUCGGUCCUCCCAGAACAGGGCGCGCUGGCCAUUGCCGAUAGCCAUGGUGGUAGAGGCGAAGAAGAGCGCGCGCUCCUCGGGCGCGAAGUGCAGGUCUAGGCCGCUCCAGGCCCUGCCAACAUCGACUCGGCUGAGCCACUGCCAUCGCAUGCGAAGGGCGAGGCCAGUGCGCUCGAGGUCGUGGACGCCGAGGCCCCCAAACUGGAUAGGCCGGCAGACGCGCCGCCAGUUGACAUGACAAUUGCCGCCGUGGGCCUCGGCGUGGCCAGCCCAGAGAAAUCCUCGCUCGAUCUUCUCCAGGAGUUUGAUGGUUUUUGGCGGCGCAAGCACGAGGAGCUGAUGAAUGGGAAUCGCGCUCAAGACAGCCUUGGCGAAGGCAAGGCGGCCGGCUUUGUUCAUAAGCCAGGCCUUCCAGGAGGGCAGCUUCCCAGCGACCUUAUCGACGACGGGUUGCAGUUGGGCAGCCGUGGGGCGACGCAGUGUGAGCGGGAUGCCCAAGUAAGUAAGCGGGAAGUCGACGAUGGGGCAGCCCAGGUGCGCGACAAUAUGAGCAGCGUCCUUGGUGUCGCAGCGGAUGAGGGCCGCAACGCUCUUCUGGAAGUUCACGUGCAGGCCCGAGGCGCGCCCAAAGAGCUGCAGAAUCUCCUUCACCGCCGCGAUAUCGUCCGGCGACGGGUGGCACAGAAGAAUUACGUCGUCGGCGUAGAGGGAUAUGGCGGGGAUGGCGCGGCGCGGAUGCAGCUGCUGCAUGACUCGGAGCUCGACCGCGCGAUGGAAGAGCCUGCCCAGCGUAUCCACGGCAAGGACGAAGAGCUGUGGGGAGACGGGGUCACCUUGGCGCAGUCCACGGCGGUGCCAAAUCGCUGGUCCGGGGUUGCCGUUGAGGAGAACCUUGGUGCUGGCCGACGACAGGAGAAGGGCGAUCCAACCAAGGAAGCGGUUGCCGAAGCCAUGGCAUCGCAGCACCUCGAAUAGGAAGGGCCACGAGACGGAGUCGAAAGCCCGUGCUAAGUCAAGCUUCAGCAGCACUCGAGGGGCACCCAGCUGAUGCAAUAGCCGUGCGGAUUGACGCACUAGGAUGAAGUUGUCGUGAAGACUUCGCCCGGGGAUGAACGCGUUUUGGACGUUGCUGACGAGGUUGUUGAGCCUGGGGGCUAGGCGGAUCGAAAGCAGCUUGGCCAGGACCUUGGCGACGAUGUGAAUUAGGCUUAUGGGCCUAUAAUCCCCCAGGCCAGUGGCCUCGGCGCGCUUGGGGAGGAGCGUGAUCAGCGCCUGGUUAAGGCAGCUAAACCCUCGUCCACGCAGCGCGUAAAUCUGGUCGAAGACGCAUCGGAGGUCAUGCUUGAUGAUCUGCCAGCAGGAUCGGAGGAACUCCGCAGUGAAGCCGUCGAGGCCGGGCGCCUUGCGGGACGGCAUGCUUUUGAUGGCCUGCCAAAUCUCAUCCUCGCUGAAUGGCGCAUCAAGAUCUUCCAGGUUUGAGGGCUCGAUGAAUUGCGACAGGUUAAUAGUGCAGUCACGCUGCAUGUCUGUCCUAAUUCGGCUGUCAAAGUGCUCGAAAGUGGCCGCGGCCAGCUUAGUAGCUUGCAUGUGCCCAUAUGGAUAUGAUCAUGGAUACGAUACAUGUGGAUCGGAGUUGUUAGACCUAGGUGAUUUUGUUGUUCCCCCCAAAGAAUGUUAUCAGUACAAAAUGACCAUAGGAGGAUGAUUUGGAUUAAUUCAAAGAGAUGGCGAUUUUGAUGGUAUGUGAUAACCUUGUGUGAGUUGUGCCAUGUGGGCCUCUUAAUAGUUGGUCUCAGAGAAAUGGUGUUUAAGUGCGUUAUGGUGAACUUUUACCCUCACACCCGAACCCUAUGCACCUUAAGUCUCACCAAUCCAUGACUUGGUCGAAUCGCGACGACAGAGUUGUAUGUGAAGGAUGUGGCCGUUGACCUAAUCCUUGCCCACCUAGCUAUUUGAUGAACAUCAUGAAUAACAUGUUUGUGAGUUCUUCGACAAGUUUCUCGUCAUCAUUGGUGACCUCUUUGUCUAUACCCCCUCGGAGGAAAAUCAUUAGCAACACCUAAGAAAGAUUUUUAUGUGGUUUUAGUUUGGUGAUUGUGAUAUUGAGGAGAUAGUCAAGGAUAUUAUGAGAUUUUAUGUUUAGUAAGUGAGCAUGUGAUUAUUAUGUUGGUGGAUAAACACAUUUUUAAUUAAUCUUGGAACAAUUUCUAUUUAGUUAGGUGAUUGUGAUCUUGAAUCGAAUUUCAUGGUGAAUUUUGAGAUUUUGGUUGAAUAUACUUUGAUGAUUGUGAUCUUGAGAUAGUCAAAGAUUUUUUCGGUGGAUAUGAGAUUUUAGGUCUAGUAGGUGACCGUGGUGAUUAUUAGAUUGGUGGAUAAACAUAUAUUUGAUUAAUCUUACAACAAUUUCUUAGUUAGGCAACUAUGGUUGAAUAUACUUUGGUGAUUGUGAUCUUGAGGAAACAGUCAAUGUUUUUGGUGCAUUAUGAGUUUUUAGGUAUAGUCGGUGACCGUGGUGAUUAUUAGUUUGGUGGAUACACAUAUAUUUAAUUAAUCUUACAUUGAUCUGUUAGUGAUGUGAAUAUGAUUUUGAACCAAAUUUCACGAUGGAUUAUGUGAUUUUUGGUGGAUCUAGUUAGGUGAUUGUCUCCUUGAAAAGAUACUUCAAGAUGUUCGAUGGAUUAUGAGAUUUUUGGUCUAAUUAGUGAGCAUAGUGAUUAUUAUAUUGGUGGAUAAACAAAUCUUCGAUCAAUUUUAAACAAUUUGGAUUUAGCUAGGUGAUUGUGAUCUUUUAACAAAAUUUCAUAGUGGAUUAUGAGAUUUUAGAUGGAUUUAGCUAGGUGAUUGUGAUGUUGAGAAAGAUUGUCAAUGAUGUUCGGUGGAUUAUAAGAUUUUAGGUCUAAUAGGUGAGCAUCAUGAUUAUUACAUUGGUGGAUAAACAAAUCUUUAAUUAAGUGGAACAAUUUGGAUUUAGUUUGGUGAUUAUGAUUUUGAAUCAAAUUUCUCGGUGGAUUAUGAUAUUUAUGUGGAUUUAGUCUGGUUAUUGGGAUCUUGAGGAGAUGGUCAAAGAUGAGUAGUGGAUGUUGAUUUUUAUGUCUAGUACGUGAGCAUGGUGAUUAUUAGAUUGGUGAAUAAACAUUUCUUUAAUUGAUCUUUCACUAAUUUGGGUAGCUGUGAUCUUGAACCACUCAAGAUGAAUGUCACCCUACAGAGCGAUAUAGGUUGAAUGUUCAUGAGAUACCUGGUUGUGUAAAAAGUGGUCUCUUGUUACCAAAGGAAUCGGUAGCAAAACCCAUCGAUGGAGAACCAAAAGAAGCAGCCAUUAGACACUAAACUCGUGUAAUCUUCUGUGUGGUUAGGGGCUCAUUUGAAGAGGUUGACAAAGAAGUACUAGACGGUGAAACUAGAAUGAGUGGGCGUUGAAGUUGUGCAAUUUUCGUUCCUUGUUGAUCCGGCUUGGCGUCCUUCCCUUGUAUGCGGGUUAUGUGUCACGGGCUUGACGUAGGAUCCUACGUUCCCUUGUUGGGGGUCGUUGGCCCGGGCGACAGGUAGCGUCAUGCUCACAUCUUGUGUGUUAGACAUUGCGGUGCCGACUGCCUUUGCUCCUGCAUCGCCGAUAGGUGGUGCUUGGGCGUUCGGCUAUGGCGGCGCCCAUCAAGGAAACACGGGUUGUGGGAUCGAGGCAGCACACAAAGCAACCCGUAGCCAGGCAAAGGAUGUCCAAUCGGACUGGAAUGGAGCGGAGAGUGCAUGAGGGGUGUGGUGAAAGGGGUCAAAAGAAUGACGACAAGGGAAGCGAGGAAGGCAGCUGCGAUGGUGAUCAGUUGUGGGCAGAUCCAAUUUUUGCACGUGGAUCUACUACUCAGGAUAGCAUGACAUGGUUGUUGUGGAGUGAGGUGCCACAAAUAUUGUGUUGUUUGGAUGAGUUUGGAGAGAUAGAAGUUGGUUGUGCUCUAGUCUACGCCUUCAACUGUACUAAGUGCAACUUAUUCCAAGUUUCUGUGCUCUCAAGCUUAAGCCUUUCUUUCUUUGAACCAGUCGUAAGCCCAAGAAACUGAGCCUAGCUAUUAAAGUUCUGAUAACAUGGACUUAUAUUGAUGUGCUUAAUUUACGGAAUUAUGAGAGCACCGCAUAAGAACGAAUAACUUUUGCGGCGAAUAAAGGCAAACUUUAGAUUGUGAUUGUGAGUCAAUCAUGUUACAUCCUUAAGCCCCAACAAGCACCAAGUUGGCUGGUGCCAUACGGAAGUUGUUUUGAGUAUUUAUGAUUGGAAGAUGAGAUAAUCUGAUGGUGUUGUAGAAAUGAUAUUCUGGAGAUAGUUAAAGAUGUUCGGUGGAUUAUGAGAACUUAGGUAUAGUUGAGCAUCGCGAUUAUUAUAUUGGUGUAUAAACAGAUCUUUAAUUAUUCUUGGAAUAAUUUGGAUUUAGUUAGGUGAUUGUGAUCUUGAACCAAAUUUUACGGUGGAUAAAUAACUUCAGUAGUACAUAUAUAGAUCCAUAGUCGGUCCAUUUAACUUGUGGUUUAUAUUGGAUUUAGAUAGCCACGAAAUUUGAGUUUACUUCAAUCAUGGUUAUGAUGUUGGUGGGUUGCUUUGUGUUAAGUUCGCACCUUUGGAGAUUUAAGUUGAAGAAAUAUAGGAUGUAGUAUGAACAACAUUAUAUAUACCGAAUUUAUAUAGGUUAGAUGAUAGUUAGCACCAUCAAUCAUGAUUAUGAAAAUUUGUGGAUUAUUAAAUCUUCUGUGAUUGGAUUAGUAGUAUAAGGAAACAAGGAUCUUGGAGUAACACAACUUGUGUCUCCUUUAGGUCGGAGUGAGAGUUAGCUGCAUCAAUCAUGAUUACGAAAAUUGGUGGAUUAUUGGAGCGCGUGGGAUUGAG